This 959-nucleotide ribosomal RNA is filed under the name Pyrenochaeta fraxinina. RNAcentral's name for it is "partial 28S ribosomal RNA". It matches the Rfam family "Eukaryotic large subunit ribosomal RNA", at positions 1 to 978 of the family's 3401-position model. The record is from RNAcentral. Lineage: Eukaryota; Fungi; Ascomycota; Dothideomycetes; Pleosporales; Cucurbitariaceae.
UGACCUCGGAUCAGGUAGGGAUACCCGCUGAACUUAAGCAUAUCAAUAAGCGGAGGAAAAGAAACCAACAGGGAUUGCCCUAGUAACGGCGAGUGAAGCGGCAACAGCUCAAAUUUGAAAUCUGGCUCUUUUAGGGUCCGAGUUGUAAUUUGCAGAGGGCGCUUUGGCGUUGGCAGCGGUUCAAGUUCCUUGGAACAGGACAUCACAGAGGGUGAGAAUCCCGUACGUGGUCGCUAACCUUCGCCGUGUAAAGCCCCUUCGACGAGUCGAGUUGUUUGGGAAUGCAGCUCUAAAUGGGAGGUAAAUUUCUUCUAAAGCUAAAUACUGGCCAGAGACCGAUAGCGCACAAGUAGAGUGAUCGAAAGAUGAAAAGCACUUUGGAAAGAGAGUCAAACAGCACGUGAAAUUGUUGAAAGGGAAGCGCUUGCAGCCAGACUUGCCUGUAGUUGCUCAUCCGGGCUUUUGCCCGGUGCACUCUUCUGCGGGCAGGCCAGCAUCAGUUUGGGCGGUUGGAUAAAGGUCUCUGUCAUGUACCUCUCUUCGGGGAGGCCUUAUAGGGGAGACGACAUGCAACCAGCCUGGACUGAGGUCCGCGCAUUCGCUAGGAUGCUGGCGUAAUGGCUGUAAGCGGCCCGUCUUGAAACACGGACCAAGGAGUCUAACAUCUAUGCGAGUGUUUGGGUGUCAAGCCCGAGCGCGUAAUGAAAGUGAACGGAGGUGGGACCCCAUUAGGGUGCACCAUCGACCGAUCCUGAUGUCUUCGGAUGGAUUUGAGUAAGAGCAUGGCUGUUGGGACCCGAAAGAUGGUGAACUAUGCUUGAAUAGGGUGAAGCCAGAGGAAACUCUGGUGGAGGCUCGCAGCGGUUCUGACGUGCAAAUCGAUCGUCAAAUUUGGGCAUAGGGGCGAAAGACUAAUCGAACUAUCUAGUAGCUGGUUCCUGCCGAAGUUUCCCUCAGGA